RNAcentral lists this transfer RNA (87 nucleotides) under Legionella sp. RNAcentral's name for it is "tRNA-Leu". It matches the Rfam family "tRNA". From Rfam's summary of the family: Transfer RNA (tRNA) molecules are approximately 80 nucleotides in length. Their secondary structure includes four short double-helical elements and three loops (D, anti-codon, and T loops). RNAcentral also lists the same sequence under 2 other names. Lineage: Bacteria; Pseudomonadati; Pseudomonadota; Gammaproteobacteria; Legionellales; Legionellaceae. The record is from RNAcentral.
GCCUUGGUGGUGGAACUGGUAGACACCCGGGACUUAAAAUCCCGUUUCCGAAAGGAAGUGUCGGUUCGAAUCCGACCCGAGGCACCA